Mauremys reevesii (Reeves's turtle) is the source of this 1091-nucleotide long non-coding RNA. RefSeq lists it as uncharacterized. The transcript has 4 exons. The record is from RefSeq and is a predicted model, not a curated record. NCBI's taxonomy places the organism in Eukaryota, Metazoa, Chordata, Testudines, Geoemydidae.
GUUUAGUAGUGGGAGAAGGGAGCUGUGUUGGGGGCUACAAAGGCAAGUAGCCUACAGUUACUCCCUGUGAGGUGGGAGUGUGGGGCUGGCAAACCCAGGGAAGUGGGGAGAGCCAGAAGUCUUCUCUGUGGUGUUAAUCAAGACCGGAAAAGAUUCUGCAGAACUUUAGAGGCACUUGACAAAGCUAGGGGGAUGGAGAUACAAUGACAGAUAAAAUUCAGGGUGGAUACAUGCAAGACUGCAGUUCAACAUCAAGCUGCUGGAACUCUGACCCUCUGCAUGACCGUGAUGUCCAGAGGCAUCGCCGGGAACCUCCAGAUGAGUGGAUCGUGACUGGCCAUUGAGUGAAAUUUGUCUGUAUAUUGGGAGUGUGUCUUUGUGCAGCAGCUGGGGUAUGACAAUAAGGUCCCUGAUCUAUAAUUCCAGACAGCCCCUGAGGGUGAACAGGUUGACCAAUCCUGAGCCUCUACGUCAGUUAAAGUGAUGAAGCCUGGAGAACUCUGUAUCCCCAGGAGGCAGUCAUCUAAUGCUUCCUAUUUGUAUUCUACAUGAAACUCUUCUUCAUGCUGGACUGUUGUUCACUCAGAGAAUUGUCCAGUGUGCAAGGUAUAAACUCCCACUAGCGAUUGAAUACAUCUAAAUAAAAGCAUGCCUAAAGUGUGACAUAAUGUAACUCUAAGUGAAAAGGAAUGCACUAAAUCUAAACACCAUUUAAGCCUGCAUACACUGUUCAAACUGUAGACUGGUUAAUAAACUCAGUAUCUGCAUUUAAAUAUGGCAUUAGUACAUUCAAAGAGAGUAUCUCUGAAAUUUCUACUUAUAGGAAUUUCUUUUUAUUGAAUUUGAUUCAAAAAUACAAAAUUGGCUGUUCAAACUAACUGAGCUGUUUUCAAAGUACUAAUGUGAAAUAUCACCAUGUAGUUCCUUAUGGAAUGUGGUAAAGAGCCCAAUUUGAAAAACUAGCUUUUAUUUUAUUAUUUUUUGAUUUGUUUCAUGGAAAUAUGAUUAUAUAGGUGUUUAUUUCACAACACCCAAAAGCAUGCCAAAUGCUUCAGAGUGCAGAUAGAAAAGCAAGGUUCCUGCCCCAAAGA